RNAcentral lists this long non-coding RNA (250 nucleotides) under Lathyrus oleraceus (garden pea). Its description in RNAcentral is "Pisum sativum (pea) long non-coding RNA (PSAT_LNC013859)". The record is from RNAcentral. Lineage: Eukaryota; Viridiplantae; Streptophyta; Magnoliopsida; Fabales; Fabaceae.
CAGUACUGAAAUCGUUCGAUGAGAAUUGCGCACGAUAGCAGUUACGCAGGGUUCGUGCGCGGCACGGAGAAGAGUAGAAGAAACCUUGGAGGAUCGGAAAUUGACAAUUUGGGAUGUACUAGUGGGUGAAGCUACGAAUCAUGUGCCAAUUAACAAUCCACUUCACAAAGGAAGCAAUCGGUAAACCCUUGUUUUUUUUAGAAGACUUUCUUUUAGUACUCCUUCUCGUUCGCUUUUAGAAGAAUUCUUU